CACGCCGUAAACGAUGGGUACUAGGUGUUGGGGGUAUCGACCCCCCCAGUGCCGCAGUUAACACAAUAAGUACCCCGCCUGGGGAGUACGGCCGCAAGGCUGAAACUCAAAGGAAUUGACGGGGGCCCGCACAAGCGGUGGAGCAUGUGGUUUAAUUCGACGCAACGCGAAGAACCUUACCGGGGUUUGACAUCCCGCGAACCUGGUGGAAACACUGGGGUGCCGGUUUCCGGAGCGCGGAGACAGGUGGUGCAUGGUUGUCGUCAGCUCGUGUCGUGAGAUGUUGGGUUAAGUCCCGCAACGAGCGCAACCCUUACCUUUAGUUGCCAGCGGGUAAUGCCGGGCACUCUAAAGGGACUGCCGGUGACAAACCGGAGGAAGGUGGGGAUGACGUCAAAUUCAUCACAUCAUGCCCUUUAUAUCCCGGGCUACACACGUGCUACAAUGGCCGGUACAGAGGGGGGCGAACCCGCGAGGGGGAGCAAAUCCCAAAAAGCCGGUCUCAGUUCGGAUUGCAGGCUGCAACUCGCCUGCAUGAAGUCGGAAUCGCUAGUAAUCGCGGAUCAGCAUGCCGCGGUGAAUACGUUCCCGGGCCUUGCACUCACCGCCCGU
RNAcentral lists this ribosomal RNA (612 nucleotides) under uncultured Neomoorella sp. Its description in RNAcentral is "bacterial SSU rRNA". It matches the Rfam family "Bacterial small subunit ribosomal RNA", at positions 796 to 1397 of the family's 1533-position model. The record is from RNAcentral. Lineage: Bacteria; Bacillati; Bacillota; Clostridia; Neomoorellales; Neomoorellaceae.